This is an RNA transcript of Erigeron canadensis, 1239 nucleotides long. It is a transcript of the gene named centrin-1-like, with no coding region annotated. The record is from RefSeq and is a predicted model, not a curated record. The transcript is spliced from 5 exons. NCBI's taxonomy places the organism in Eukaryota, Viridiplantae, Streptophyta, Magnoliopsida, Asterales, Asteraceae.
AACAUCUAAUAAAAUUCCCGCAUUUGUUGAACUUCCCGGGAAAAGAAAAAGGAAAACCCUAAACUAAAAAUCCCCCAAAAUUCAAUCUUCUGAUCCUAAUUCCCAUCUAUACAAACCCUAAUUCACAAAUUCAUUCCACUCAGAUAAUUCACAAUUAAUUUAAAAUCGAUAAUAAAAAAAACCCAAAAUGCCAGAAGCAAAUAAAUCAGAAAGCCCAGAGAAAAUGACAGAGUAUGAAAAGCAAAGAAUGAAAAGAAUACAAGAAAACACAGAAAGAAUGAAAGCAUUGGGCUUGCAUAAUCUGGCUGCUUCUACUUCUUCUUUAUUUCAAAUAACAAAAAAGGAAAAAAGAAAUUGAAAAAAGAUGAAGAAGAUGAUGAUGAGGAUUAUAAGCCGAAAGAUGAUGAUUUUAGCUCUUCAAGCGAAUCGGGAGAAGCCAACGAUGAUGAAGAUUAUCAUGUUAAGCCAAAGCUGAUAAAAUCAACACCAAUCAAGAAAGUCUUAAAGCUUUCAGGCAACUUGGGUUUUGUUGAUGAUGAUGAUGCCUUAAUGAAGGCUAUUGCUCUUUCUUUGCAAGAUUCACCAGGCUUUUUGGAUGUAGCGAGCAACACCCCUCCUCAGCCUAUUGAUACAAAGGCAUUAAGUGUCAGAAAUAUUGAAAGGAAGCAUAUUGUACACAAGGAUGAUUCUGGUAAACGAAAGAGAAAAAAUGUGAAACUGGCAAAGGAGAAAUUAAUCUACGGGACUUGCGUAGAGUAGCAGCUUCACAUGAUUUCACAUGGAAUGAUGAGGAGAUGGAUCAUAUGAUCCGGUUCUUUGAUAGUGAUGUAGAUGGAAAGCUAAGCCUCGAGGAUUUCAGUAAGAUUGUUGAGCGUUGCAAUAUGAGACAAGGGUCUGAAAUUUCAGAACAGGCUUCAUGAGUUAACGAGGUACAGACCCAUAGUAGUUCCUAAUGGUGAUUUGAAUCGAGAUUACCUACAAUACUUGUUAUGUCUUUUCUACGAGUAUUAUACAAAUGCAUUAAGGCUCGUGUCAUGUUAUGAUGAAGGUUUGGUAAAUUGUCUGUUUUGGCAAUUGACAAAAGUGAAAAUCAGAUUGUCAUGGAAGAUUGAAUUGGCGCCCUGUUUAAUAGGAUUUAAAAUGGCCCGUUCCUAUUGAGCCUAGAUUUUGUAAUAUUCUUCUCUGUAUAUGACAACCAAUACUGUAAUAUCUAAUGAACGACUUGCAUAGACUGACAAA